UACGUAGGGGGCAAGCGUUGUCCGGAUUUCUUGGGCGUAAAGAGCGUGUAGGCGGCCAGGUAGGUCUGCUGUGAAAACUCGAGGCUUAACCUCGAGCUGUCGGCGGAAACCAUCUGGCUAGAGUCCGGAAGAGGAGAAUGGAAUUCCCGGUGUAGCGGUGAAAUGCGCAGAUAUCGGGAAGAACACCCGUGGCGAAGGCGGUUCUCUGGGACGGUACUGACGCUGAGACGCGAAAGCGUGGGGAGCGAACAGG
This 253-nucleotide ribosomal RNA is filed under the name uncultured bacterium. RNAcentral describes it as "partial 16S ribosomal RNA". It matches the Rfam family "Bacterial small subunit ribosomal RNA", at positions 524 to 776 of the family's 1533-position model. The record is from RNAcentral.